This is a long non-coding RNA of Megalobrama amblycephala (Wuchang bream), 490 nucleotides long. RefSeq lists it as uncharacterized. The record is from RefSeq and is a predicted model, not a curated record. The transcript is spliced from 2 exons. NCBI's taxonomy places the organism in Eukaryota, Metazoa, Chordata, Actinopteri, Cypriniformes, Xenocyprididae.
CUCCAACAUCAUCAUCUCAUUCCAGACUGGAUUCAUCUUGUGCUUCACUCGCCGCGUCUGCUUCUUCUUCAGUUUGGCAUUUUGAUGUUUCAAGGUCAACUUUACUGAAAGAUCUAUCACAGAACAUACAGGUUUGUCUGACUGAAGUCCUCUAGCCUUCAUUACCACCACCCCAAGUCUAUUGGCUGCUGGCAGAUAACUGAGUGACAAUAGUAGCUCUCCAGCUGAUGAUGCCACUUCCUGCUGAAAAAGACAGAGAAAGUCUUAAAAUGCUUCAUGGGUCAAAGUUUUUGAGCAAAAGAACUAAUUUUAAAAUACAUUUUUGUGUACAUUUUACUUUUUUAACUCGGUUCACAUGAAUAGAGAUUUUAAAAUUUGCAUAUUCAUAAUUUUUUCUUGCAGGGUUAAUGAUCUUGACUUUUCACUGCAUGGAGAAUAAUUUCAUUCAAAUGUUCUAGUAAUUUGUGAGACAGACUGAAUGUGACCAGUU